CAUAUAAGGUGUGCCCUGCCCGGUGAUAUUUUUUAACGGCCGCAGUACUCUGACUGUGCUAAGGUAGCAUAAUAAUUUGUCUUUUAAUUAGAGACUGGAAUGAAUGGGUGAUUAAUUGAAGUCUGUCUUUUUCAAUGUAUAUUUUAAGUUACUAAAAAGGUGAAAAUACCUUUAUAAUUAAUAUUAGACGAGAAGACCCUUAGAGUUUAUAAGUUAUGUUUUGUUGGGGCGACAAGAAAGCAGAAAACCUUUCUUAUUUUUAUAUAAUAUAAAUCAUUUUAAAAAGUGAAAAAUAAACUACCUAAGGGAUAACAGCAUAAUUUUUUUUAAAGAUUAUGACCUCGAUGUUGGAUUAAGGACUUAUAUUGCUAACAGCUUAAUAAGAUUGUUCUGUUCGAAC
RNAcentral lists this ribosomal RNA (400 nucleotides) under Hemphillia glandulosa. RNAcentral describes it as "partial large subunit ribosomal RNA". It matches the Rfam family "Bacterial large subunit ribosomal RNA", at positions 1844 to 2586 of the family's 2925-position model. Lineage: Eukaryota; Metazoa; Mollusca; Gastropoda; Stylommatophora; Arionidae. The record is from RNAcentral.